This 301-nucleotide ribosomal RNA is filed under the name uncultured bacterium. RNAcentral's name for it is "partial 16S ribosomal RNA". It matches the Rfam family "Bacterial small subunit ribosomal RNA", at positions 509 to 807 of the family's 1533-position model. The record is from RNAcentral.
CAGCAGCCACGGUAAUACGAAGGGUGCAAGCGUUACUCGGAAUUACUGGGCGUAAAGCGUGCGUAGGUGGUGGUUUAAGUCCGUUGUGAAAGCCCUGGGCUCAACCUGGGAAUUGCAGUGGAUACUGGGUCACUAGAGUGUGGUAGAGGAUAGUGGAAUUUCCGGUGUAGCAGUGAAAUGCGUAGAGAUGUGGAGGAACACCGAUGGCGAAGGCAGCCCCCUGGGCCAAUACUGACGCUCAUGCACGAAAGCGUGGGGAGCGAACAGGAUUAGAUACCCCCGUAGUCCCUGUCUCUUAUAC